AUGAACGCUAGCUACAGGCUUAACACAUGCAAGUCGAGGGGCAGCAUGAUCGAAGCUUGCUUUGAUUGAUGGCGACCGGCGCACGGGUGAGUAACGCGUAUCCAACCUUCCCUAUAGUAGAGAAUAGCCCGGUGAAAAUCGGAUUAAUGCUCUAUGUUAUUCAAUGCGGACAUCUAAGUUGAAUCAAAGGUUUACCGCUAUAGGAUGGGGAUGCGUCUGAUUAGGUUGUUGGCGGGGUAACGGCCCACCAAGCCCACGAUCAGUAGGGGUUCUGAGAGGAAGGUCCCCCACACUGGUACUGAGACACGGACCAGACUCCUACGGGAGGCAGCAGUGAGGAAUAUUGGUCAAUGGGCGCGAGCCUGAACCAGCCAAGUAGCGUGCAGGAAUGACUGCCCUAUGGGUUGUAAACUGCUUUUAUCAGGGAAUAAAGUGAGGCACGUGUGCCUUUUUGUAUGUACCUGAUGAAUAAGGACCGGCUAAUUCCGUGCCAGCCGCGGC
This 501-nucleotide ribosomal RNA is filed under the name uncultured bacterium. RNAcentral's name for it is "bacterial SSU rRNA". It matches the Rfam family "Bacterial small subunit ribosomal RNA", at positions 29 to 518 of the family's 1533-position model. The record is from RNAcentral.